GACGGAGGGUGCUAGCGUUGUUCGGAAUUACUGGGCGUAAAGCGCGUGUAGGCGGCAUGGUAAGUCGAGUGUGAAAGCCCGGGGCUCAACCUCGGAAGUGCAUUCGAAACUGCCAUACUUGAGUACGGGAGAGGGAAGCGGAACUCCUGGUGUAGAGGUGAAAUUCGUAGAUAUCAGGAGGAACACCGGUGGCGAAGGCGGCUUCCUGGACCGAUACUGACGCUGAGACGCGAAAGCGUGGGGAGCAAACAGG
Molecule: ribosomal RNA, 253 nt
Filed under: uncultured bacterium
Lineage: Bacteria
Description: partial 16S ribosomal RNA
Rfam family: Bacterial small subunit ribosomal RNA
Source: RNAcentral